UCCUCCUCCUCCUCUCUCUCUCUCUCUCUAUUCUUUCCCUAUCUUUCUCUCUCUCUGUCUCUCUCACACAGCUCUCACCUGCACCUCUCAGAGAGCUUUUAUCUUAAUGCCUCCGCCGACACAGCUAAUAGAGUCAAAACUAACCCUCUGCCGAGAGAGAGAAGGGGGUGAGGUGGAGCUGCGAGAGAGGAAAAAGAUAAACCGAGAUUGCCCCGUGGACUCUAUAAUCCCGAAACGGCUACGCACUUAUUCGGGUUAAAACCCAAAAAAAAGGACAUGGGAAAAAGGAUGAUGAGGAGGAGGAGGAAGAAGAGGAGGAGAGCCGGUGGCAAGGUCGAAAUAAUGGAGAAACAGACGCAGAGGAGAG
RNAcentral lists this long non-coding RNA (367 nucleotides) under Phoenix dactylifera (date palm). Its description in RNAcentral is "long non-coding RNA (PDAC_LNC016040)". The record is from RNAcentral. Lineage: Eukaryota; Viridiplantae; Streptophyta; Magnoliopsida; Arecales; Arecaceae.